UCCCUGGUGGCUCAGAGGGUAAAGCAUUUGCCUGUGAUGCGGAAGACCCAGGUUCGAUCCCUGGGUCGGGAA
RNAcentral lists this transfer RNA (72 nucleotides) under Bos taurus (domestic cattle). It matches the Rfam family "tRNA". From Rfam's summary of the family: Transfer RNA (tRNA) molecules are approximately 80 nucleotides in length. Their secondary structure includes four short double-helical elements and three loops (D, anti-codon, and T loops). The record is from Rfam by way of RNAcentral. RNAcentral also lists the same sequence under 5 other names. Lineage: Eukaryota; Metazoa; Chordata; Mammalia; Artiodactyla; Bovidae.